Molecule: ribosomal RNA, 327 nt
Filed under: Triticum aestivum (bread wheat)
Lineage: Eukaryota; Viridiplantae; Streptophyta; Magnoliopsida; Poales; Poaceae
Description: partial small subunit ribosomal RNA
Source: RNAcentral
AUGCUUAUUUGUUGUCAUGCACAGAGACAGUUUGCGCAUACUCAGGUUAGGGGAUGCUACCCGUCCUUCAUGGCGCAGUUUGAUAGUUUGCACGAGGAUCAAGUUAUAUGGGAGCCAUACUCGCCUCAGGCUAUAUCAUCGAGGUACCCAGUUGGGAUUUCUGGAUUGUGCACUAGAGAUCGGCACUUUUGGAUGACCAAGGCCAAGUUGGUGUUCGACGUGACGGUUGAGGAGAUGUCUCUUCAUAGGGUGAUGAGACAGUUCGGUCUAUAUCAAGAGCCUGCGAUUCUAGAUAUUCCACACUUGCCAGACCACGUGCACAAGUAA